This 255-nucleotide unclassified non-coding RNA is filed under the name uncultured fungus. RNAcentral describes it as "partial contains 5.8S ribosomal RNA, internal transcribed spacer 2, and large subunit ribosomal RNA". Lineage: Eukaryota; Fungi. The record is from RNAcentral.
AACGCACAUUGCGCCUGCCAGUAAUCUGGCAGGCAUGCCUGUCCGAGCGUCAUUUCAACCCUCAAGCCCUGGCUGCUUGGUGUUGGGCCGCUGCCGCACUGCGGCAGCCCCCGAAAAACAGUGGCGGGCUCGCCUGGAACCCGAGCGCAGUAAUCUGUUCUCGCUCAGGGCCUCCGGCGGGGUCCCAGCCGUAAAACACGCUGUAUGCACUUCAAGGUUGACCUCGGAUCAGGUAGGAAUACCCGCUGAACUUAA